GCUUUGUUUACAAAUUGCAAGUCAGAUUUCUCCAGCAAGGCAGGGAUUCCUUACUCACUCAGUGCCAGGAUCACGCUGCUGUGGACUGUGCCAAUGAUAAUCACGAAAGUCUGAGCUAGCUGUCUACUGAGAAUUUGUCAGUGCGUCCAACUGGCCUCACAACCGCAGACCACAUGUAACCAUGCGAGCCCACAACCUCCACAUCCGGCUUCUUCACCUCCGGGAUCGUCUGAGACCAGCUAUCUGGACAGCUGAUGAAGCUGAGUAUUUCUGUCUGUAAUAAAGCCCCUUUGUGGGGAAAAACUCUGAUUGGCUGGGCCUGGCUUCCUAGUGGGAGGGCAUUGGCCGACUCGCUUGGGAGCCAGGCCCACCAUGGCUGUGCCCCUGCCCAGUCAUGUGAAAUACAUAGAUUAGUGCCUAAUUUGUUUAUUUCAAUUGACUGAUUUCCUUAUAUGAACUGUAACACAGUAACAUCAUUGAAAUUGUUGCAUGUUGCGUUUAUAUUUUUGUUCAGUGUAAAUUAGAAUUAGAUUGUAAAACUUGAAUAAAAAUAUAUAAAAAUACAAAAUGUACAUCAAUGUAAGUACAAAGAUUUUACCAUAUCCCAACCACCCUCCCUCCAUACAACACAUCCACCCAACCCCCCUAGUACCUUCCCUACCUCUCCGCCCCACCUCAGUCAGUCCACCCACCUCGGUUCCCAACCACCCACCCACCCCCAACCCCCUUCCAAC
RNAcentral lists this long non-coding RNA (734 nucleotides) under Salmo salar (Atlantic salmon). RNAcentral's name for it is "lncRNA (ENSSSAG00000107857.1, ENSSSAG00020083642.1)". Lineage: Eukaryota; Metazoa; Chordata; Actinopteri; Salmoniformes; Salmonidae. The record is from RNAcentral.